RNAcentral lists this small nuclear RNA (144 nucleotides) under Cavia porcellus (domestic guinea pig). Its description in RNAcentral is "U2 spliceosomal RNA". It matches the Rfam family "U2 spliceosomal RNA". From Rfam's summary of the family: U2 is a small nuclear RNA (snRNA) component of the spliceosome (involved in pre-mRNA splicing). Complementary binding between U2 snRNA (in an area lying towards the 5' end but 3' to hairpin I) and the branchpoint sequence (BPS) of the intron results the bulging out of an unpaired adenosine, on the BPS, which initiates a nucleophilic attack at the intronic 5' splice site, thus starting the first of two transesterification reactions that mediate splicing. Lineage: Eukaryota; Metazoa; Chordata; Mammalia; Rodentia; Caviidae. The record is from Rfam by way of RNAcentral.
AUUAUUUCUUGGCCUUUUGGCUAAGAUCAAGUGUAGUAUUCUCUAGUUAAAAGAAGAAUUUAUUGAAAUAGAGCCACAUCACUAGAAUCCAAGAUCAUUUAUAUUUUGUUCUCUAUAGUACUAGAGUUAAUUUGUGAUACACUC